Molecule: non-coding RNA, 30 nt
Filed under: Mus musculus (house mouse)
Lineage: Eukaryota; Metazoa; Chordata; Mammalia; Rodentia; Muridae
Source: RNAcentral
UGAAUUAUCAUUAAGAUGGGAAAGGCUCUC